This 474-nucleotide ribosomal RNA is filed under the name uncultured Alphaproteobacteria bacterium. Its description in RNAcentral is "bacterial SSU rRNA". It matches the Rfam family "Bacterial small subunit ribosomal RNA", at positions 10 to 532 of the family's 1533-position model. The record is from RNAcentral. Lineage: Bacteria; Pseudomonadati; Pseudomonadota; Alphaproteobacteria.
AGUUUGAUCCUGGCUCAGAACGAACGCUGGCGGCAGGCCUAACACAUGCAAGUCGAACGCACCUUCGGGUGAGUGGCAGACGGGUGAGUAACACGUGGGAACCUUCCCUUCGGUACGGAAUAGCUCCGGGAAACUGGAAUUAAUACCGUAUACGCCCCUUGGGGGAAAGAUUUAUCGCCGAAGGAUGGGCCCGCGUCGGAUUAGCUAGUUGGUAGGGUAAUGGCCUACCAAGGCAACGAUCCGUAGCUGGUCUUAGAGGAUGAUCAGCCACACUGGGACUGAGACACGGNCCAGACUCCUACGGGAGGCAGCAGUGGGGAAUCUUAGACAAUGGGCGAAAGCCUGAUCCAGCCAUGCCGCGUGAGUGACGAAGGCCUUAGGGUUGUAAAACUCUUUUGGCGGGGACGAUAAUGACGGUACCCGCAGAAUAAGCCCCGGCUAACUUCGUGCCAGCAGCCGCGGUAAUACAAGGGC